UUUUAUUCACCUCAUGCUUGCUUUGGAUCACAAUGAUACAGAAAAGAUUAACAUGGCCCCGGCUCAAGGAUGACACACAAAAUUUGUGAAGCAUUCCAUAAUUUU
Small nuclear RNA from Ochotona curzoniae (black-lipped pika), 105 nucleotides. Lineage: Eukaryota; Metazoa; Chordata; Mammalia; Lagomorpha; Ochotonidae. The record is from RefSeq and is a predicted model, not a curated record.